Molecule: transfer-messenger RNA, 341 nt
Filed under: Alphaproteobacteria bacterium
Lineage: Bacteria; Pseudomonadati; Pseudomonadota; Alphaproteobacteria
Also listed under: 1 other name
Rfam family: Alphaproteobacteria transfer-messenger RNA
About the family: Bacterial tmRNA, also known as 10Sa RNA or SsrA, is named for its dual tRNA and mRNA-like properties. Its role is to liberate the mRNA from a stalled ribosome.
Source: RNAcentral
AUACUUGAUUUUUAGUCGUUUUAUCUCUAUAUUUAGUAUGUCAGCAAUGACUAUGACAUUAAGAGACUAGAUUGUAAUAGACUUUUUGCACCUGGGGGCGGUACCCAGUGUCUCCACCAUUUGAGGGGACAAAAUAGCUAUCGACAUGAAGUAAUAAAGAAUUGUGUUAUGUCCGAGUAAGACAACUCUCGUAAAACGGUUUCAAACCAAAUAGUUGUAAAUGAAAACAGCGAUGGUCAGCUUAAAUUGGCUGCCUAAUUGGCAUCCAUAAGCGCAAAUUCUUAUUAGAAAAUGAUCCUUUUAAGUGAGGUUCGGGGAGCCUAGCAACAUAAUUCCCCAUU